AUGAACAUUUUGGCCAGAACAGAAGGAGAGCUCUCUGGAAAACUCCGGUCCUUCAUUUACUCCCAAUGACUCGACGGUGACGCCUAGUUCAUUGAAACGAGAAAACAUCUCUUACUCCUCCUCCUCCUAUUUCCAAGUAGUCCUCGCGGCCAUAGGUGAGUUUUUCUCAGGAGAAUUUCAUCGAACACUUGCCCUUUAUUCAUUUCUUCCCCUCCUCAUAUACCUGUCUUUGUUUCGUCGCAGUCUGUCACUCGGCACCCAUAUCUCCAAGAAAUUAAGUGCAAGAUCUUCUGCGACAAGGUCCCCAAAGCUGCCGAGUUCAGUGAUUUUCAUUCAUGUUGUUCGUCUUCGUGUUUCUUUUCAUUGUGCAAAGAAAAGACGGUUCUUGGUGAAAACUUCGAAGGAAGGUUAAAUGGUGACGUAUUUGCUCUUUUCCAAAUUUUUGGUCACCUGUACUGGUUGAGCAUGCAAAUUUUAGGCUUGCCGUGAAAUAUGUCGCCUCUAUGACGGUUCCAAUAUGAAUCAACUGCUUAUUGGCUUUAAGAUUGAAAUUAAUUAGGUUUCAUUGGAGAUUUUGAGACGAGGUUGAGGUUAUUGUGUCCAAGGAAGCUUGGAUGAUGAUCUGGGUGGGGGAAGUUUGAUUGUGUUGUGGAGGUUCUUCAUGAAAAAGAUUUCCGGGGGGGCUUUUUUAUGAAGAGAAGAAAUCAUUUUUUCUUGUUUUGAGGGUGCUUUAUUUAUUGACUGAAAAUAUAUUCCUUGAUUGAUCUAA
This 769-nucleotide long non-coding RNA is filed under the name Eucalyptus grandis. Its description in RNAcentral is "long non-coding RNA (EGRA_LNC004291)". Lineage: Eukaryota; Viridiplantae; Streptophyta; Magnoliopsida; Myrtales; Myrtaceae. The record is from RNAcentral.